GAUUGAACGCUGGCGGCAUGCCUUACACAUGCAAGUCGAACGGCAGCACGGGAGCAAUCCUGGUGGCGAGUGGCGAACGGGUGAGUAAUAUAUCGGAACGUGCCCAGUCGUGGGGGAUAACUACUCGAAAGAGUAGCUAAUACCGCAUACGAUCUACGGAUGAAAGCGGGGGAUCGCAAGACCUCGCGCGAUUGGAGCGGCCGAUAUCAGAUUAGGUAGUUGGUAGGGUAAAAGCCUACCAAGCCUGCGAUCUGUAGCUGGUCUGAGAGGACGACCAGCCACACUGGAACUGAGACACGGUCCAGACUCCUACGGGAGGCAGCAGUGGGGAAUUUUGGACAAUGGGCGCAAGCCUGAUCCAGCAAUGCCGCGUGCAGGAAGAAGGCCUUCGGGUUGUAAACUGCUUUUGUCAGGGAAGAAAUCUUCUGGGCUAAUACCCCGGGAGGAUGACGGUACCUGAAGAAUAAGCACCGGCUAACUACGUG
This 485-nucleotide ribosomal RNA is filed under the name uncultured bacterium. RNAcentral's name for it is "bacterial SSU rRNA". It matches the Rfam family "Bacterial small subunit ribosomal RNA", at positions 27 to 507 of the family's 1533-position model. The record is from RNAcentral.